AAUAGAUACCCCGGUAGUCCACGCCGUAAACGAUGAGUGCUAAGUGUUAGGGGGUUUCCGCCCCUUAGUGCUGCAGCUAACGCAUUAAGCACUCCGCCUGGGGAGUACGACCGCAAGGUUGAAACUCAAAGGAAUUGACGGGGGCCCGCACAAGCGGUGGAGCAUGUGGUUUAAUUCGAAGCAACGCGAAGAACCUUACCAGGUCUUGACAUCCCAAUGACCGCUCUAGAGAUAGAGUUUUCCCUUCGGGGACAUUGGUGACAGGUGGUGCAUGGUUGUCGUCAGCUCGUGUCGUGAGAUGUUGGGUUAAGUCCCGCAACGAGCGCAACCCUUAUUCUUAGUUGCCAUCAUUUAGUUGGGCACUCUAAGGAGACUGCCGGUGACAAACCGGAGGAAGGUGGGGAUGACGUCAAAUCAUCAUGCCCCUUAUGACCUGGGCUACACACGUGCUACAAUGGACGGUACAAAGAGCUGCGAGCCCGCGAGGGUAAGCCAAUCUCAUAAAACCGUUCUCAGUUCGGAUUGUAGUCUGCAACUCGACUA
This 543-nucleotide ribosomal RNA is filed under the name uncultured bacterium. Its description in RNAcentral is "bacterial SSU rRNA". It matches the Rfam family "Bacterial small subunit ribosomal RNA", at positions 777 to 1318 of the family's 1533-position model. The record is from RNAcentral.